Long non-coding RNA from Triticum dicoccoides, 1148 nucleotides. RefSeq lists it as uncharacterized. Lineage: Eukaryota; Viridiplantae; Streptophyta; Magnoliopsida; Poales; Poaceae. The transcript is spliced from 4 exons. The record is from RefSeq and is a predicted model, not a curated record.
AUUCCCCACCCCUCCACCUUCCUCUCAUCACGCACUCUGCCCACGCACCCCACCGAUGAUGGCAAUGGAGACCAUCGAGCCUCGUGGAGAUGAUAUGGUUUCAGGACUCGCCGAACUACUCCACGGCCGUGAAUCACCAAUGAUAGGUAAAUCAGAUCCCGGCACUGCUCAUGGCAUCGACCUUCUGGCAUCAAUAGCCACCGAUCUGGAUUUGGAACCAAGCUCCAGAUCCGAAGUGGUUCUUCCCCAUCGCCCUGAAACCGGCGGUGGCGCCGGUCAAUGUCGAUGGUAUUCCUCCGGUAACAGUCCAUCGUAAGUGCAGCCCUACAUUUUGAUUCCCCCUCCCUAUGUCCUUUAAGUUCUUAGUGCUAACCACGGCUGUUCUUAUUGGUGAUUGUCCAUGAAUCAUGGAUGCGGCGACAACGAGCGAGAGAGCUUUGGCUGAGGUGAAGGCGGGCAAUCAGUUGGAGGAGGAGGCAUGUGAAUGGCUCAAGAGUGACGCGGCAGCAUGAAGCAGCUACGUCUUGAUGACGCAAGAUGACGCGGCGGCGUCUCGCUAGUGCCAGGAGGAGGUGGGGGCGACCACUGCGCCAGAAUCCUCGUCGGUGCAAGAGUGACAUACACAUCUUCUUGGCGGCUGCGGCGGCCGCACGCGUCGGUGGCUGCUGGCAUCAUGUGCUCGUUCAUUGGAGUUUCUCUGUAUGAAUUUCUCAAGGGGUGUGCAUCAAAACCCAAUUAAAAAACAGUAAAAGCCACCUAUGCGAUCAUGGGGGGCGGGCAGAUUUCAUAUAAUCUGUCUCUCGCAUGAGCUAAACCUAUGAAGAUUGGCUUCUUUCGUACGGCUCUGGUAUGCAAGAUUGAAUAACUCUUAUUGCCUAUGUUCUUUCCUUUGCUAUUGCUAUCAACAAUUUAGAAUUGUUCUAGCUAAAGAACAUAAUUAGUCUAAAAUGAGUAGGAAUGGGCAGAAUAUGCUUGAUGCAUGAAUCAUGACAAAAUGGCAUUUAUUGAUCAUGCAUUCUGUUAUUUUGGAUCUUCUGGAAAUAAAAUGUCAUUGCCAAAUGUUGAUAAUUUGAGGUCUGGUUUAAUUCCUUCUAGCCAUGAACCACUUUAGGAUUUAAAGUGUGCAAUCCUAAUGCGAAUACUGUUAA